AUGGACAGGCGUUUUUCACAGAAACCCGGAAUUUCCGGCGGGAGCAAGCCCUUGGAAGCUCUGCCAAGUGUGGUCUUGGGCGGAAGUGUUCAUGAUGAGAUCCAACUAGUACAUUCUGGGGUUGAGAUGAAGAAGCCUAAGACAUCAGUGAAGGUGUCCUGCAAAGCUUCAACAUACACUUUGACCAGCAAGUAUAUGUAGUGGGUGAGACAGACUCCUGGACAAAAAUUUGAGUGGAUGGGCUGAAUUGACCCAGGAGAUGAUAAUACACACUACUCACAGAAAUUCCAGGACAGGGUCACCAUGAGCAGUUACACCUCCACAGACACAGCCUACAAGGAGCUGAGAAACCUCAGAUCUGAGGACACAGCCAUUUAUUACUGUGCAAAAGAUACAGUGUGA
Non-coding RNA from Elephantulus edwardii (Cape elephant shrew), 402 nucleotides. Lineage: Eukaryota; Metazoa; Chordata; Mammalia; Macroscelidea; Macroscelididae. The record is from the annotation of a RefSeq genome assembly.